This 673-nucleotide long non-coding RNA is filed under the name Homo sapiens (human). RNAcentral describes it as "HSALNT0356254". Lineage: Eukaryota; Metazoa; Chordata; Mammalia; Primates; Hominidae. The record is from RNAcentral.
AUACCCCGCUCAACUUGACGCCUAAAGCAGCCGCUUCCAGGCCUGGGGUUUCGGAUAGGCCAAGCCGGCUGCUGCCGACCCGCACGCCGCCCCGGGCCCCGGCUCCUCUCUAGGCGGUGGCCGCGCCGUCGCCUGCUCGGCUGCGGGAUGCUUGCUCCCAAGGUCCCAGGCGUCCAGGUUGAUCGCCAGCCCCUUACCCUGGUGAGGGAGGCCUUGCGCCCUGCAGAAGCCCCGGGCCCUGCGGCGGCGGCGGCGGCAUCCUCCUGGUCGCCUCCUCGCUUUCCUCCACCCGAGCUCCGCCGGCUGCUCCUUGGGAGGAAGGGGACUCGCUAGACCAGGCCGAGGCCCAGCCUCAGAAGUCAGCAUUUUCAAGACCUGGCAUCCGCAGCGUUUCUGACGCGGGGACUUCUCUCUUCGGCUCUGAGGUCUCCGCGCGCAGAACCCAUGGCAGCUUUUGGUCUUACGCGUGGCUGUGAGCUGGGCUCACGCUGCGUGGCGCAUCCACCCCUCGAUUGACGCGCGGAGAAGCAUUUUUCAUUUUUUCUUUCAGCUUCCCUGAUUUCAAACAAACAUCAGAUUUAAGAAGGUGAGGACUCCAAAGAAGAUCCAAACGCGAGACCAGGAAGAUUCACGUUUCCACUACUUCUUCCAAUACAUUUCACUAAUCUUUCUA